Molecule: ribosomal RNA, 454 nt
Filed under: uncultured bacterium
Lineage: Bacteria
Description: bacterial SSU rRNA
Rfam family: Bacterial small subunit ribosomal RNA
Source: RNAcentral
CGCUGGCGGCGUGCCUAACACAUGCAAGUCGAGGGGUGAUUUCGGUCAUCACUGGCGCACGGGUGAGUAACGCGUAGAUCAUCUCGCCCCUAUCACUGACAUAACAGUUCUAAACGGACUGCUAAUAUCAGAUGAGGUGAGCAAUCAUCAAAGUUUCGACCGGAUAGGGAUGAGUCUGCGUCUGAUUAGGUAGUUGGUGAGGUAACGGCUCACCAAGCCGACGAUCAGUAACUGGUCUGAGAGGACGAACAGUCACACUGGAACUGAGACACGGUCCAGACUCCUACGGGAGGCAGCAGUGAGGAAUAUUGCACAAUGGGAGGAAUCCUGAUGCAGCGACGCCGCGUGGCGGGAUGGAAGGGCUUAGCCUACGUAAACCGCUGUCGGAGGGGACGAAUGGUACAUUUGAUGUACUGAGACGGUACCCUCAAAGGAAGGAUCGGCUAACUACGUG